RNAcentral lists this ribosomal RNA (253 nucleotides) under uncultured bacterium. RNAcentral's name for it is "partial 16S ribosomal RNA". It matches the Rfam family "Bacterial small subunit ribosomal RNA", at positions 524 to 776 of the family's 1533-position model. The record is from RNAcentral.
UACGGGGGGGGCAAGCGUUGUUCGGAAUUACUGGGCGUAAAGGGCUCGUAGGUGGCCAACUAAGUCGGACGUGAAAUCCCUCGGCUUAACCGGGGAACUGCGUCCGAUACUGGAUGGCUUGAGUUUGGGAGAGGGAUGCGGAAUUCCAGGUGUAGCGGUGAAAUGCGUAGAUAUCUGGAGGAACACCGGUGGCGAAGGCGGCAUCCUGGACCACGACUGACGCUGAGGAGCGAAAGCCAGGGGAGCAAACGGG